AGAGAUCACGCAUCCCUCUUAAUAGUGCGGUAUUUCUAUACUCAAACUAAAACCGAAAAUAAAUUUAGACUUGAGAAUAUGUCGUUCAUCAUUUCAUUUCCUUUUGAGGGGUCCAUCACAAGUGCUUCAUGACCAACAAUCCUUUUAAACCUGCUUAUGCACUUGAAACUUUAUUAGACACUUAAGCUUGCAUCAUUAAAUCACCAAAACCCACUUAAGGGGGCCAAAAUACUCUUCAAUCUUCCCCUUUUUGGUGAUUGAUGACAACAUGCUUAAGUCUUACAAGAGAUAGAAUAAAGUAUCAAAAUGUAAGUGAAAAGCGAGAACAUGUGCAACACCCCUUAAUUUAUGCCAUAGAAUUUGAAUUUCAUGAAUGACUUUUUAGAUGUCAUUUGGCACUAUGAAUGAGAUGAGAGCACAUGUACUUGACAACAGUGGGGUGCAAGAAAAGUGUGUGACAAUUCAUCUGUGAUGCAUAUAUGACAAAAAAUCCACUUCAACAAAUAAUCAAAGAGAAAUAUAACAGGAUGUCUAGAGAUUUCUAGAAUAAUCUCUGGAAAUUCAAUUCUCCACACAUUUCUGACAAACUGAAAAACAAUCAUCACAGAAAUUUUCACAGUAACACAACCAACAAUCCUUAGGAAGAUAAAAGCAGUCUAAGCACACAUUACACCCAUUACAAGUUCAUGCUCACAUAGUUACAAGCCAUAAAGACAAAAUGAUAGAGUUUGAUACACAAAAGCAUCCAGCCCACAAAUCACUCCCCCUUUGACAUCGAGUGCCAAAAAGGAAAUGAAACCACCAAAGAGUAGCUACUCCUCAUCAUCAUAGUCAUCCUCCUCCUCCUCAUCAUCAUCGUCGUCCUCGUCGUCCUCUUCUU
RNAcentral lists this long non-coding RNA (880 nucleotides) under Setaria viridis. RNAcentral's name for it is "long non-coding RNA (SVIR_LNC004509)". Lineage: Eukaryota; Viridiplantae; Streptophyta; Magnoliopsida; Poales; Poaceae. The record is from RNAcentral.